CCUACGGGAGGCAGCAGUGGGGAAUAUUGGACAAUGGGGGGAACCCUGAUCCAGCCAUGCCGCGUGUGUGAAGAAGGCCUUAUGGUUGUAAAGCACUUUAAGCGAGGAGGAGGCUACUUUAGUUAAUACCUAGAGAUAGUGGACGUUACUCGCAGAAUAAGCACCGGCUAACUCUGUGCCAGCAGCCGCGGUAAUA
RNAcentral lists this ribosomal RNA (196 nucleotides) under uncultured bacterium. RNAcentral's name for it is "partial 16S ribosomal RNA". It matches the Rfam family "Bacterial small subunit ribosomal RNA", at positions 338 to 525 of the family's 1533-position model. The record is from RNAcentral.